GAUGAACGCUGGCGGCGUGCCUAAUACAUGCAAGUCGAGCGAACAGAUGAGGAGCUUGCUCCUCUGACGUUAGCGGCGGACGGGUGAGUAACACGUGGAUAACCUACCUAUAAGACUGGGAUAACUUCGGGAAACCGGAGCUAAUACCGGAUAAUAUAUUGAACCGCAUGGUUCAAUAGUGAAAGACGGUUUUGCUGUCACUUAUAGAUGGAUCCGCGCCGCAUUAGCUAGUUGGUAAGGUAACGGCUUACCAAGGCGACGAUGCGUAGCCGACCUGGGAGGGUAAUCGCCCACACUGUAACUGAGACACGGUCCAGACUCCUACGGGAGUCAGCGGUAGGGAAUCUUCCGCAGUGGUCGAAAGUUUUACGGAGCAACUCCGCGUGAGUGAUGAAGGUCUUCGGAUCGUAAAACUCUGUUAUUAGGGAAGAACAAAUGUGUAAGUACCUAUGCACGUCUUGACGGUACCUAAUCAAAAGGCCACGCCUAACUACUUG
Molecule: ribosomal RNA, 497 nt
Filed under: uncultured bacterium
Lineage: Bacteria
Description: partial 16S ribosomal RNA
Rfam family: Bacterial small subunit ribosomal RNA
Source: RNAcentral